This 497-nucleotide ribosomal RNA is filed under the name uncultured bacterium. Its description in RNAcentral is "partial 16S ribosomal RNA". It matches the Rfam family "Bacterial small subunit ribosomal RNA", at positions 28 to 507 of the family's 1533-position model. The record is from RNAcentral.
GAUGAACGCUGGCGGCGUGCCUAAUACAUGCAAGUCGAGCGAACAGACGAGGAGCUUGCUCCUCUGACGUUAGCGGCGGACGGGUGAGUAACACGUGGAUAACCUACCUAUAAGACUGGGAUAACUUCGGGAAACCGGAGCUAAUACCGUAUAAUAUAUUGAACCGCAUGGUUCAAUAGUGAAAGACGGUUUUGCUGUCACUUAUAGAUGGCUCCGCGCCGCAUUAGCUAGUUGGUAAGGUAACGGCUUACCAAGGCUACGAUGCGUAGCCGACCUGAGAGGGUGAUCGGCCACACUGGAACUGAGACACGGUCCAGACUCCUACGGGAGGCAGCAGUAGGGAAACUUCCGCAAUGGGCGAAAGCCUGACGUAGCAACGCCGCGUGAGUGAUGAAGGUCUUCGGAUCGUAAAACGCUGUUAUUAGGGAAGAACAAAUGUGUAAGUAACUAUGCACGUCUUGACGGUACCUAAUCAGAAAGCCACGGCUAACUACGUG